UACGGAGGAGGCAAGCGUUAUCCGGAAUUAUUGGGCGUAAAGCGUCCGCAGGUGGUUGGGUGUGUCUGCUGUUAAAGCUCAGGGCUCAACCCUGAAUCGGCAGUGGAAACUACCAGACUUGAGCACAGUAGAGGCAACGGGAAUUCCCAGAGUAGCGGUGAAAUGCGUAGAUCUUGGGAAGAACACCAAUAGCGAAGGCACGUUGCUGGGCUGUGGCUGACACUCAUGGACGAAAGCUAGGGGAGCGAAACGG
RNAcentral lists this ribosomal RNA (253 nucleotides) under uncultured prokaryote. RNAcentral describes it as "partial 16S ribosomal RNA". It matches the Rfam family "Bacterial small subunit ribosomal RNA", at positions 524 to 776 of the family's 1533-position model. The record is from RNAcentral.